GGCCCGAUAGGACUAACCGGACCAACGGGAAUGACUGGACCAAGAGGAGACAUGGGAGACCAAGGAGAUACCGGACCAAAUGGAGACAAGGGCGAAAUGGGCUUUCUAGGACCACAGGGAAUAUUUGGAAGAGACGGGCGGAAUGG
This is a long non-coding RNA of Mytilus trossulus (common blue mussel), 146 nucleotides long. RefSeq lists it as uncharacterized. The transcript is spliced from 5 exons. NCBI's taxonomy places the organism in Eukaryota, Metazoa, Mollusca, Bivalvia, Mytilida, Mytilidae. The record is from RefSeq and is a predicted model, not a curated record.